GACGAACGCUGGCGGCGUGCUUAACACAUGCAAGUCGAACGGAAAGGCCCUGCUUUUGUGGGGUGCUCGAGUGGCGAACGGGUGAGUAACACGUGAGUAACCUGCCCUUGCCUUUGGGAUAACUUCAGGAAACUGGGGCUAAUACCGGAUAGGAGCUCCUGCUGCAUGGUGGGGGUUGGAAAGUUUCGGCGGUUGGGGAUGGACUCGCGGCUUAUCAGCUUGUUGGUGGGGUAGUGGCUUACCAAGGCUUUGACGGGUAGCCGGCCUGAGAGGGUGACCGGCCACAUUGGGACUGAGAUACGGCCCAGACUCCUACGGGAGGCAGCAGUGGGGAAUAUUGCACAAUGGGCGGAGGCCUGAUGCAGCAACGCCGCGUGCGGGAUGACGGCCUUCGGGUUGUAAACCGCUUUCGCCUGUGACGAAGCGUGAGUGACGGUAAUGGGUAAAGAAGCACCGGCUAACUACGUG
This 468-nucleotide ribosomal RNA is filed under the name uncultured bacterium. RNAcentral's name for it is "partial 16S ribosomal RNA". It matches the Rfam family "Bacterial small subunit ribosomal RNA", at positions 28 to 507 of the family's 1533-position model. The record is from RNAcentral.